Molecule: ribosomal RNA, 253 nt
Filed under: uncultured microorganism
Description: partial small subunit ribosomal RNA
Rfam family: Bacterial small subunit ribosomal RNA
Source: RNAcentral
UACGUAGGGACCAAGCGUUGUUCGGAUUUACUGGGCGUAAAGGGCGCGUAGGCGGCGUGACAAGUCACUUGUGAAAUCUCUGAGCUUAACCCAGAACGGCCAAGUGAAACUGUUGUGCUAGAGUGCAGAAGGGGCAAUCGGAAUUCUUGGUGUAGCGGUGAAAUGCGUAGAUAUCAAGAGGAACACCUGAGGUGAAGACGGGUUGCUGGGCUGACACUGACGCUGAGGCGCGAAAGCCAGGGGAGCAAACGGG